AUGAAACAACCUGAUGGCAUCAAUAUCCCCGAUGGCGAGUUUUAUCCAGGGGAUGCUGGCUAUGCAUGUCAGCCUGGUGUUCUUCCACCCUUCAGGAAAACAAUACACCAUUUGAACGAGUCCCUUUCAGGAACUAUCCUAGACUCCACAUGAACUGUUUAAUCUUACUCACCUAGGCUUAGAGUGAUGGUUGAGAGGGCAUUUGAAGCUCUCAAGAAUAGGUUUAAGAUACUAGAUCAGAAGCCAUUCCACCCUUACCCUACCCAGGUUAAGCUUGUUCUUGCAUGUUGAAUCAUUCAUAACUAGAUCCUACAAUGGGGUUGUGAUGAACUUGUGCCAAAGGAGGAAGAUGUGACGCCUGAUGAUGUUGUCAGCUCGGACCAUGGCGCGAAGGCAUUUGACAACGAAGCCUUGAAGAACAAAAGGAUGAAGUGAGCUCAGACAAUGUGGGAUAACAGAGAUCAGACAAGAAUCUGA
Molecule: ribosomal RNA, 477 nt
Filed under: Triticum aestivum (bread wheat)
Lineage: Eukaryota; Viridiplantae; Streptophyta; Magnoliopsida; Poales; Poaceae
Description: partial small subunit ribosomal RNA
Source: RNAcentral